RNAcentral lists this ribosomal RNA (237 nucleotides) under Neptunomonas phycophila. RNAcentral's name for it is "partial 23S ribosomal RNA". It matches the Rfam family "Bacterial large subunit ribosomal RNA", at positions 1647 to 1869 of the family's 2925-position model. The record is from RNAcentral. Lineage: Bacteria; Pseudomonadati; Pseudomonadota; Gammaproteobacteria; Oceanospirillales; Oceanospirillaceae.
CCCCAAACCGACACAGGUGGUCAGGUAGAGAAUACUAAGGCGUAUGAGAGAACUCGGUUGAAGGGACUAGGCAAAAUGGUGCCGUAACUUCGGGAGAAGGCACGCUCCUGACGGUGAACCCCUUGCGGGGUAAGCUGUUGGGAGUCGAAGAUACCAGGGGGCUGCGACUGUUUAGUAAAAACAUAGCACUCUGCAAACACGAAAGUGGACGUAUAGUGUGUGACGCCUGCCCGGUGC